AUACGUAGGUCCCGAACGUUGCGCGAAAUUACUGGGCGUAAAGGGUCCGUAGGCGGUCUGGUAAGUGGAAGGUGAAAGCCUGGGGCUCAACUCCAGAAUUGCCUUCCAAACUGCCGGACUUGAGGCAGGGAGAGGUCGGCGGAAUUCCCGGUGUAGCGGUGAAAUGCGUAGAUAUCGGGAGGAAAACCAGUGGCGAAGGCGGCCGACUGGAACUGUCCUGACGCUGAGGGACGAAAGCCAGGGGAGCGAACCGGAUUAGAAACCCUAGUAGUCC
This 274-nucleotide ribosomal RNA is filed under the name uncultured bacterium. RNAcentral's name for it is "partial 16S ribosomal RNA". It matches the Rfam family "Bacterial small subunit ribosomal RNA", at positions 523 to 796 of the family's 1533-position model. The record is from RNAcentral.